CUAAAGAGCGCAAGGUCCGCAUCUGGAAGGACUACGUGGCACCCACCGCCAAUUUGGACCAGAAGGACAGGCAAUUUGUCGCUAAGGUGAUGCAGGUUGUCAACGCAGAUGCCAUGGUGGUUAAGCUCAACUCUGGAGAAUACAAGACCAUCCACCUGUCCAGCAUUCGGCCCCCCAGAAUCGAGGGAGAGG
Non-coding RNA from Labrus bergylta (ballan wrasse), 192 nucleotides. The record is from RefSeq and is a predicted model, not a curated record. NCBI's taxonomy places the organism in Eukaryota, Metazoa, Chordata, Actinopteri, Labriformes, Labridae.